RNAcentral lists this ribosomal RNA (480 nucleotides) under uncultured bacterium. Its description in RNAcentral is "partial 16S ribosomal RNA". It matches the Rfam family "Bacterial small subunit ribosomal RNA", at positions 28 to 523 of the family's 1533-position model. The record is from RNAcentral.
GACGAACGCUGGCGGCGUGCUUAACACAUGCAAGUCGAGCGGAAAGGCCCUUUCGGGGGUACUCGAGCGGCGAACGGGUGAGUAACACGUGAGUAAUCUGCCCCUGGCUUUGGGAUAGCCACCGGAAACGGUGAUUAAUACCGGAUACGACCACUUCUCGCAUGGGAUGGUGGUGGAAAGUUUUUCGGCCAGGGAUGUGCUCGCGGCCUAUCAGCUUGAUGGUGAGGUAAUGGCUCACCAUGGCUUCGACGGGUAGCCGGCCUGGGAGGGUGACCGGUCACACUGGGACUGAGACACUGCCCAGACUCCUACGGGAGGCAGCAGUGGGGAAUAUUGGACAAUGGGCGGAAGCCUGAUCCAGCAACGCCGCGUGAGGGAUGACGGCCUUCGGGUUGUAAACCUCUUUCAGCAGGGACGAAGCGCAAGUGACGGUACCUGCAGAAGAAGCACCGGCCAACUACGUGCCAGCAGCCGCCGUAA